AGGUUGAAAACACGAGGGGAACAACACAAAAUUGUUCACAAUAUUGUCUUUUCUUCUGAAUCCUGCAUAAAGAACUGCUUGUGGAUUCUGACUUUGUGAUCCUCCAUCUCUUCAAGAACUCGUAGUCACCGACUUCCCCACACUAUCCUGGCAGUCCUUGUCCCUAUGUGAAGCUCCUGUCACUGGAUAUAUUCACACCUCAGCUCUCCCAAUAAACGUGUGC
Mus musculus (house mouse) is the source of this 223-nucleotide long non-coding RNA. RefSeq annotates it as fatty acyl CoA reductase 2, opposite strand 1. The record is from RefSeq and is a predicted model, not a curated record. The transcript is spliced from 3 exons. NCBI's taxonomy places the organism in Eukaryota, Metazoa, Chordata, Mammalia, Rodentia, Muridae.